AACGUCUCUGUGUACUUUAUGAAACACUGAUCAUGAAGCUAUCUGAAUGCCUUAGAGUUAACAAUAAAUAAAUAAAACCUCUCAUACUAGAGUCUUCCUCUGUAGGUACUGUGUCUGAGUCACAUGAUGGCAGCCACAGCUGGAUCUGCCUGGGACACCAAAUUCUUGUUCUGACAUGAGGAUUGUGUCUGACCAGCAGUGAUAUCUAUUUGAAGCAAGGAAUAUCAUCCUUCCAAGCCAGCACAACCAACCCUAACCUGUUCUUCAAGCAUGUUUUAAAUGAAGGACAACUUCAAGCUCUUCCCUAAGCAAGUCAUCCCAGAUACCAAAUACGACCUGACUUGUUAGAGCUCUACAUAAAGCAGGGUUGCCUUUGACUUUGUCAGAGUUGUGAGAGCUGAGCACUUCGGAUCCAAUUUUCAAGUCAAACCGUUGGUAAAGAGGACCUGAUAAUUACUACUUACCUAUUACAAGUCUAACAAGAACUAUUUGGCUGCCCUAAUUGUGAAAGCAUCUUUCUUAUCACCACAGACUUCUGCCUCUAUUUGCAAAGUUAUCAUUUUACGAUAAACAGGAAAGGAUCCUACAACUAAACAUUUACCGCCCACUUUUUUUUUUUUUUUUUUCUUUCUAAUAUUUUUCUAUUAUUUUAGAAAAAAACAAGAGGUAUAAAUAAGUAAAACUCACCAUAACAUU
RNAcentral lists this long non-coding RNA (696 nucleotides) under Anas platyrhynchos platyrhynchos (common mallard). Its description in RNAcentral is "lncRNA (ENSAPLG00000019709.1)". The record is from RNAcentral. Lineage: Eukaryota; Metazoa; Chordata; Aves; Anseriformes; Anatidae.